Chlorocebus sabaeus (green monkey) is the source of this 114-nucleotide regulatory RNA element. It matches the Rfam family "Potassium channel RNA editing signal". Rfam says of the family: This family represents a group of sequences related to the human potassium channel Kv1.1 hairpin element which directs the efficient modification of an adenosine to inosine by an adenosine deaminase acting on RNA (ADAR). The ADAR modification causes an isoleucine/valine recoding event which lies in the ion-conducting pore of the potassium channel. It is thought that this editing event targets the process of fast inactivation and allows a more rapid recovery from inactivation at negative potentials. Lineage: Eukaryota; Metazoa; Chordata; Mammalia; Primates; Cercopithecidae. The record is from Rfam.
GUCGGCUAUGGUGACAUUUACCCUAAGACAUUACUAGGGAAAAUCGUGGGAGGCCUGUGCUGUAUUGCUGGGGUUCUGGUUAUUGCCCUUCCUAUCCCAAUUAUUGUGAACAAU